GACGAACGCUGGCGGCGUGCUUAACACAUGCAAGUCGAACGGAAAGGCCCUGCUUUUGUGGGGUGCUCGAGUGGCGAACGGGUGAGUAACACGUGAGUAACCUGCCCUUGACUUUGGGAUAACUUCAGGGAACUGGGGCUAAUACCGGAUAGGAGCUCCUGCUGCAUGGUGGGGGUUGGAAAGUUUCGGCGGUUGGGGAUGGACUCGCGGCUUAUCAGCUUGUUGGUGGGGUAGUGGCUUACCAAGGCUUUGACGGGUAGCCGGCCUGAGAGGGUGACCGGCCACAUUGGGACUGAGGUACGGCCCAGACUCCUACGGGAGGCAGCAGUGGGGAAUAUUGCACAAUGGGCGGAAGCCUGAUGCAGCAACGCCGCGUGCGGGAUGACGGCCUUCGGGUUGUAAACCGCUUUCGCCUGUGACGGAGCGUGAGUGACGGUAAUGGGUAAAGAAGCACCGGCUAACUACGUG
This 468-nucleotide ribosomal RNA is filed under the name uncultured bacterium. Its description in RNAcentral is "partial 16S ribosomal RNA". It matches the Rfam family "Bacterial small subunit ribosomal RNA", at positions 28 to 507 of the family's 1533-position model. The record is from RNAcentral.